This 497-nucleotide ribosomal RNA is filed under the name uncultured bacterium. Its description in RNAcentral is "partial 16S ribosomal RNA". It matches the Rfam family "Bacterial small subunit ribosomal RNA", at positions 28 to 507 of the family's 1533-position model. The record is from RNAcentral.
GACGAACGCUGGCGGCGUGCCUAAUACAUGCAAGUUGAGCGCUGAAGGUUGGUACUUGUACCAACUGGAUGAGCAGCAAACGGGUGAGUAACGCGUGGGGAAUCUGCCUUUGAGCGGGGGACAACAUUUGGAAACGAAUGCUAAUACCGCAUAAAAACUUUAAACACAAGUUUUAAGUUUGAAAGAUGCAAUUGCAUCACUCAAAGAUGAUCCCGCGUUGUAUUAGCUAGUUGGUGAGGUAAAGGCUCACCAAGGCGAUGAUACAUAGCCGACCUGAGAGGGUGAUCGGCCACAUUGGGGCUGAGACACGGCCCAAACUCCUACGGGAGGCAGCAGUAGGGAAUCUUCGGCAAUGGACGAAAGUCUGACCGAGCAACGCCGCGUGAGUGAAGAAGGUUUUCGGAUCGUAAAACUCUGUUGGUAGAGAAGAACGUUGGUGAGAGUGGAAAGCUCAUCAAGUGACGGUAACUACCCAGAAAGGGACGGCUAACUACGUG